Molecule: ribosomal RNA, 631 nt
Filed under: Terriglobia bacterium
Lineage: Bacteria; Pseudomonadati; Acidobacteriota; Terriglobia
Description: bacterial SSU rRNA
Rfam family: Bacterial small subunit ribosomal RNA
Source: RNAcentral
UCAAACGAGAGUUUGAUCCUGGCUCAGAAUCAACGCUGGCGGCGUGCCUAACACAUGCAAGUCGAACGAGAAAGUUCCGCGCAAGCGGAAUGAGUAAAGUGGCGCACGGGUGAGUAACACGUAGCUAACCUGCCCUCGAGUGGGGGAUAACCUGGGGAAACCCGGGCUAAUACCGCAUAAUUCCCCGACAACCCAAGUUGUCGGGGGCAAAGGCCCGCAAGGGCCGCUGGAGGAGGGGGCUGCGGCCGAUUAGCUAGUUGGUGAGGUAACGGCCCACCAAGGCAAUGAUCGGUAGCCGGCCUGAGAGGGCGCACGGCCACACUGGCACUGAAACACGGGCCAGACUCCUACGGGAGGCAGCAGUGGGGAAUUUUGCACAAUGCCCGAAAGGGUGAUGCAGCAACGCCGCGUGAGGGAUGAAGGCCUUCGGGUCGUAAACCUCUUUCGACUGGGAAAAACGGGCCGACGAAGAGUCGGUCCUGAUGGUACUGGGGGAAGAAGCCCCGGCUAACCUACGUGCCAGCAGCCGCGGUAAUACGUAGGGGGCGAGCGUUGUUCGGAAUUAUUGGGCGUAAAGGGCGUGUAGGCGGUGCGGUAAGUUGGGCGUGAAAUCCCCGGGCUUAACCCGGGG